Long non-coding RNA from Homo sapiens (human), 549 nucleotides. Ensembl annotates it as WASF3 antisense RNA 1. Its record names the gene WASF3-AS1. The record is from Ensembl. NCBI's taxonomy places the organism in Eukaryota, Metazoa, Chordata, Mammalia, Primates, Hominidae.
GUAAGCCCACCUGAGCCACAGAACCUUCUCCCUCCCUACAAAAGGCUCAGGAGUAGGAGGCACCAGACAGCUUUUAUCGUCUCUAACACUAACUCAGUUUUGAAUAAAUUGAAGAGCGAGGAAGAGUCAAAGGAAAAAAUGCUGGUUUCUCUGUUGUGGGAAGAAAUCUCGGAGUAAAAGUGAAGAACAACGUAUCAUGGGUGGGGAUACAGAAGUGGUGUGGGAGCCUGUGAAGAUCAAGCCUUUGGUCUCCCUGCCUUUCUCUUCUAGCCAUGGACAGGAAAUGAUGAAAAAGAUGUACAUUUAAAAUAUGUGCAACAAUACUACAGGACUACAAAUGAUAGAUAACCUCCAAAGUUGAAAGGCAACGGGAUGAGAUUAAAGGAAGAAACCACAAGCCAAAAAUAUGACAGGAAGGACUGUGGCCACGAGAUGUGUGGUUGGAGAACCACAAUGAAAAGAUCUUGGCAAUUUACACCAGAGAAAUACAAAUGGCAGCCAACCAUCAAAUUGUCCUUUGAAAGAAUUAUAUCUAAUAAAACUAGGAAU